GGAUAGGAGACUUCAGAGAUGGAUUGGUGCCUUCGGGAACUCUGAGACAGGUGCUGCAUGGCUGUCGUCAGCUCGUGUUGUGAAAUGUUGGGUUAAGUCCCGCAACGAGCGCAACCCUUAUCCUUGUUUGCCAGCGAGUAAUGUCGGGAACUCCAGGGAGACUGCCGGUGAUAAACCGGAGGAAGGUGGGGACAACGUCAAGUCAUCAUGGCCCUUACAAGUAGGGCUACACACGUGCUACAAUGGCGCAUACAGAGGGCGGCCAACUUGCGAAGGUGAGCGAAUCCCAAAAAGUGGGUCGUAGUCCGGAUUGGAGUCUGCAACUCGACUCCAUGAAGUCGGAAUCGCUAGUAAUCGUGGAUCAAAAUGCCACGGUGAAUACGUUCCCGGGUCUUGUACACACCGA
RNAcentral lists this ribosomal RNA (406 nucleotides) under uncultured bacterium. RNAcentral describes it as "bacterial SSU rRNA". It matches the Rfam family "Bacterial small subunit ribosomal RNA", at positions 990 to 1393 of the family's 1533-position model. The record is from RNAcentral.